GGCUGAACGAGGAUUGGAAAUUUUAUCUCUCAACUUCCUGUUCCGGGCGCCUUCAGGUAUCCCAUGGCUUCCAUAGUCAGACGGUCAGAACUUGGAGCUCUUUACUCCAGAUGUGCUUUAGUGUUCCUGCAGUGCUUAUUAUAUGCUGUUGUAAUUAUUUGUGAAUCUCAGAUUGAUAUUGACCGAAGACUGCAGGACUCCAAGAUGGCGGCAGCCACUCCAGUGAAAAGAAAGAAACUCACAGAUGUCAAAAUAGGGGAGCUGCCAAGCAGGAUAUGGAUGUGGGAUUUCACCCCAGAGACACUGUUGGAGCGUCUCAAAGCAGUUACUACCGGUUCUACAACAGGUAUGUCUAGUGAGGAAAAAAAGGUGUAACUGGGUUUUUCUGGUCUGGCGGCUUACAUGGUUUCCAACUAUCGCCUUUCUCACAAAGGAG
This is a long non-coding RNA of Bos indicus x Bos taurus (hybrid cattle), 436 nucleotides long. The record is from Ensembl. NCBI's taxonomy places the organism in Eukaryota, Metazoa, Chordata, Mammalia, Artiodactyla, Bovidae.